RNAcentral lists this ribosomal RNA (439 nucleotides) under uncultured bacterium. RNAcentral's name for it is "bacterial SSU rRNA". It matches the Rfam family "Bacterial small subunit ribosomal RNA", at positions 28 to 458 of the family's 1533-position model. The record is from RNAcentral.
GACGAACGCUGGCGGCGUGCCUAAUACAUGCAAGUAGAACGCUGAAGAGAGGAGCUUGCUCUUCUUGAUGAGUUGCGAACGGGUGAGUAACGCGUAGGUAACCUGCCUUGUAGCGGGGGAUAACUAUUGGAAACGAUAGCUAAUACCGCAUAACAGUGUUUAACACAUGUUAGAUGCUUGAAAGAUGCAAUUGCAUCACUAGUAGAUGGACCUGCGUUGUAUUAGCUAGUUGGUGGGGUAACGGCCCACCAAGGCGACGAUACAUAGCCGACCUGAGAGGGUGAUCGGCCACACUGGGACUGAGACACGGGCCCAGACUCCUACGGGAGCAGCAGUAGGGAAUCUUCGGCAAUGGGGGCAACCCUGACCGAGCAACGCCGCGUGAGUGAAGAAGGUUUUCGGAUCGUAAAGCUCUGUUGUAAGAGAAGAACGUGUGUGA